Molecule: long non-coding RNA, 1787 nt
Organism: Solea senegalensis (Senegalese sole)
Lineage: Eukaryota; Metazoa; Chordata; Actinopteri; Pleuronectiformes; Soleidae
Exons: 6
Source: RefSeq, a predicted model, not a curated record
GCUCGAGUAGCAUACAUUAAAUACCCUUUCCUUUCCAGGGAUCUUUCCGAGGUCUCUCUCCAGCCCCUCAGAAAGCAUCUGCCACUUCCCCACGUAAGCGUGGAGCAGAGAACGCUGUGGUCCACUUCUUCCGCACGAUCGUGUCCCCAGCCCCUCCUAAGUCCAGGUGGAGAGGAGUAGCAGCCAAGAUGGGCCUGGGCGACCAGAAGUCACAGUCUAAAGCCAAGAAGGCCAGUGCAGGGGACGGCAAAGGCUCCCUGACUAGGAUCUUCAAAAUGUGAUGAUAUCAACAGCAGAGGAAGUAGGAGCGCUUCUCCAGGCAAACGCUGAAGUCCCUCUCUACAUCCCAGUCCAACUGCUUAAGGGGAGAAGUUCAAGAACAUGAGACUAAAGUGGGGAGAAAAAAAACAAACAAAAACAAACAAGGAGGAGGAGACCUCUCACACUCGAUUCCCAGUGCAUCUCUGAUAACACUUUAAUUGCUAAAUCCCUCCCCUCUCCUGUCACCCCCUUUGGCUGGUAGAUAGUGACACAAUCUGUUACCCCUGCCCCAACCCCCCCUGCCCCAACCCCCCCACCUCUUUCCAUUGCAUGCCUUGCGCUGAGUAGUCUGCACUGGCAUCACCACGAGUCUGUACUGUUUGCUGAAGUUGACCCUGAAGCCGCUCACAUGUGUAGCCUGAAUGAUACUGUGUGCUUGAGUUUCUGUGGAUGUCUUAAACAUUGGUUUUCCUAACAUACGAUGGCUGAACUGGAGCAAGCCCGGGCGCAGCUGAAGGUUCAGGCCGGUGCAAGUCCGACUGACUUGUCCGUUGUUGCCAUUUGCCGACUGGUUGAAAAGACCGGGGUUGUUUCUGUUUGAUUAAGAGCGAUUUUCUGUCUCGUCACACUGUCGAUCGUUGUUCCCUCAAAUGUUCUCCCACAUAAACCUGUGAUUGACUUUUUGUUUUUUUAUAAUCUAUUUAACAGACUUUACAUUUUAUGUGUUUUCAUUCAACCCUCUGUGUCUCAGCUGUACUUAAGUGUCCUGUCAUGAAUGUCACGUUGCUCUAUGUCAUUAAGGCUGGCUGUGGGUUUUGUGGUUAAUUUCUAAACUUUCUAAAUGACUAUUGUGCAAUAGCCAUUGAGUCAAUUUGUCAUCUCUAAAGAACUAGUUCUUUUUCCGUCAUGAGAUAAUGGCAUACACUAAUUUUCUUUUCUAUAUAGAGAACUAAAUUACUUUGUAGUGUCCUACUCUCCACUAUUUCUGAAGCACGGUGCCAGAUUCAGACCUUUUCGUGCAGUUUUCUUUGUCUUCACUGCUUCUCUUAUGCACAGCACACUCAGUGUCAACGGAAUUCACAAAAAAAACUCAGUGACAAGUGCCUUUGCCUCCUGAAUGACCAAAAACAAUGCGCUGUGUCUCCAUAUGUUGUGGAUAAUGGAACAAACAACACAAUUUCAAAAAGGUGCUCUGUGACUAACUCUGUACUAACACGUUAUAAGGUGUUAUUUGAGAAUGUGCAGGUUGAAAGUUUUUCCAAAUAAAAAAAAGUUCAGCACUAAACAAUCCAAACAUCCAUCUUCUAAAAGCCGGCGUGUGCAUGCGUGUGUGUGUGUGUGUGAGAUGUUGUGGUGUCCAUUUUCUCUUACUGUCUUGAGUGUGCUUGAGCCUCUUGAGUGCUGCGUUGUGUCGAUUUUCUUCUCCCCCUGAAUGGAUCCACAGAAUGAAUGUAAAGGCGCUCCCCAUUAUAGCAUGUGUAAUAAAAACAUGACCAACUACUUAACUGAGAAUAAAAAAAUAAAAA